Molecule: ribosomal RNA, 865 nt
Filed under: Vibrionaceae bacterium enrichment culture clone HE_C3
Lineage: Bacteria; Pseudomonadati; Pseudomonadota; Gammaproteobacteria; Vibrionales; Vibrionaceae
Description: bacterial SSU rRNA
Rfam family: Bacterial small subunit ribosomal RNA
Source: RNAcentral
AGAGUUUGAUCCUGGCUCAGAUUGAACGCUGGCGGCAGGCCUAACACAUGCAAGUCGAGCGGAAACGACACUAACAAUCCUUCGGGUGCGUUAAUGGGCGUCGAGCGGCGGACGGGUGAGUAAUGCCUGGGAAUAUGCCUUGAUGUGGGGGAUAACCAUUGGAAACGAUGGCUAAUACCGCAUAAUGCCUACGGGCCAAAGAGGGGGACCUUCGGGCCUCUCGCGUCAAGAUAUGCCUAGGUGGGAUUAGCUAGUUGGUGAGGUAAUGGCUCACCAAGGCGACGAUCCCUAGCUGGUCUGAGAGGAUGAUCAGCCACACUGGAACUGAGACACGGUCCAGACUCCUACGGGAGGCAGCAGUGGGGAAUAUUGCACAAUGGGCGAAAGCCUGAUGCAGCCAUGCCGCGUGUAUGAAGAAGGCCUUCGGGUUGUAAAGUACUUUCAGUUGUGAGGAAGGGGGUAGUGUUAAUAGCGCUAUCUCUUGACGUUAGCAACAGAAGAAGCACCGGCUAACUCCGUGCCAGCAGCCGCGGUAAUACGGAGGGUGCGAGCGUUAAUCGGAAUUACUGGGCGUAAAGCGCAUGCAGGCGGUUCAUUAAGUCAGAUGUGAAAGCCCGGGGCUCUUCCUCGGAACUACAUUUGUAACUGUGAACUAGAGUACUGUAGAGGGGUGUAGAAUUUCAGGUGUAGCGGUGAAAAUGCGUAUAGAUCUGAAGGAAUACCAGUGUCGAUGGUGGGUCCUCUGGAUAGAUAUUGACACUUAUAUGCUAAAUCGUGUGGAGCUAACUGGAUUAUAUAUCCUGGUGUUCACGUCCGUAAACGAUGUCUCCUUGGAGGUGGGGUCCUUGAUCCUUGAUUUUCGUAU